Molecule: long non-coding RNA, 2232 nt
Filed under: Homo sapiens (human)
Lineage: Eukaryota; Metazoa; Chordata; Mammalia; Primates; Hominidae
Description: non-protein coding INHBA-AS1:14
Source: RNAcentral
GCAGCUUCCAGGGAUCACGCCGGAACGCGGCCGCUGCUCGAGCCCAGCUCGCAGGAUGCCUGGAGCCAGGGCCAAGCCGGUCUAAGCGGCAGCCUCUAUUUUUACCCUGAGCACCAGCAAGGGCAACUUCUUUUAAGAGCAGCUCUUGAUUUUUUCCCCCCUUUUGGCAGCUAAAGAAUUCAGGGAGGGGAAAAAAAUCACUGUUCAGUGAGUGCAGCUGGGAAUCUCUGAACCCAGCCCUCAGUGCCAGGGAGUGAAACCACAGCAAAUGUCAGGGAGCGGGACCUGCGGAGGGGCCGGCUGGCUCCCCGCGGACAGAGGCGAGCCGGGAGCGCUCGCGCACCAGCCAACUGCCCCCUUCUGAGUGCGGAGCGCGGUCCUCCAGCGACUGCACUAGCAAAGUGGCCCGCUGCCACCGCGUUAUUCACCUAGUGGAGGCGGCCUGAUUUACUGGCGACUUCACAAACCCAACUCCACGCUGGAGCAUUUGCAUGGCUCUGUUCUCGCCUCGAGGAGCAGCCACUAGCGAACCCGGUGGAGCAGCUUGCUGCGAGAAGGAGCCGGGAGGGAAACUGUGGUACCUUAUUUUACUGUAAUUGCAAAAGGAACGAUGUGCCAGAGAUUUAUAUUUAGAAGUUGUAUGUUUCUACUUUUAUGUAAAUGGAGCAAUUAGGGCCUGUCUUGCUGCUGCUAACUCCAAUGCGUGUGCAUUGCUGGGGAGCUGGUGUUUUCAAUCACAAUUAGUGAGCUGGUCAAAAAACAAAGUUCGUUUAAGGAUAAGAGCUCAAUUGUGCGAAUGGGGGAGAGGCCAGCGUUCGUGUGCUGGCCCGUGGCUUACGGUGACACCUAGCUUAGGGCCACGGCCAACCCUAUAGUGGUGUUUACCUGUGGCAGCAGCUGUCCCUGUUCAAAGUUGGCAUAGAUGAGGAAGCAAGAAUGUUCACUUUUCUUCUCAAACCGUCUGUCCUUCAGCUUUCAUCCACGCUAUUAACUGGUCUCUUUCCUCACUACUCCUGGAGCAAGGAGACAGGACCAGAAAAGGGAGUGGGGGUUGGGGCAUUUUUCAGGGCUCUAUUAUUUUAGCUGCUGCUCACGGAUUGCUGUUAUUCAGUCAAAAAUACAAGCCAGGAGACGCGAACGCCCCAAGCAGGUGACUGGGAUGUUGUUCUCUGAUUCAGCUGAAAUGACACAAGGCUGGGGGUUCAGAGGCACGGACAAGAGUGCUGACGAGUCACGGUGUUUUCUUUCCUUCCUAUGAAAAAAUCUGUUUCCAAAAAAGCAUGAUUUCUGGUUCAUCCCGUCUGGGAAACCGAACAUAAAACGUGACUAUGGAGAGAAAUCAAAAGGACUCGAGGUGUUCCCAGCAGCUGAUGUGUUAUUCUGGGGCUCAGGCCGGAAAACCUGGCCUUGUUGGUGAGGGGUGACUCCCUCCAGAGGCAGCUCAGAAUCCAGAGAACGUGGGCAGGAUCCAGAGUACUAUUUGCUGCAGGGAGACUGCGAGAGUCUGUGAUGAAGGGUCUCAUCAAAUGGUUUAAAUCGAACAUGGGAUUGGCAAACCCUGCCUGUUUCCUGGACAGCCGCAGCCUGUACAUAGCUUGGGCUGAAUGUUAGGUAGAAAGAUUUGGGACAAAGGAGAAUCAGCGUUUCACGUUCAAAAUUGAACUGGGAAGCUGUUUUGCUUUUAAGUUAAAUCAAUGAAUGAAUAGAUCGAAACAGAGAGAGAGAGGAAAGCAUUAAAAAGUCCCCUGAAAUUCAUUGAGAACAACAGGGUCAGAAAUGGUUAAUCUGAAACUUGACUCGUAAGCUUCACAUUUCUUUCAGAACCACCAGAAUAUCCCACAAGGCCUUCUGCUAUGUAAGAGCACUCUGUUUUUAGAUUAUUUGGAAAUGCUGCUUUCUGAACCAAGGGAACCCAGAUACUAGAACUAAAACAAUUAGGGAAAAGAGAAGGAGGAAGAAAACCCAGUAAGUAACCUAUUACUCUUCAUUCUACAGCAGUGGUUCUCAACCGGGGCGAUUUUGCUCCCCGGGGAACAUCUGGCCAUGUUUGAAGACAUUUUGGUUGUUACAGCUGGGAGGGAGGUUCUACUGAUCAUUAGUGGGUAGGGCCCAGGGAUGCUGCUGAAUAUCCUACCAUGCACAGGACAGCCCCCAACAACAAGAAAUUACCUGGCCUACAGUGUUCAUUGUUCUGCAGUUGAGAUACCCUGAUUUCAUAUUAUAAUUGUAAAG